ACAGAGGUCCCAAGCGUUGUUCGGAUUCACUGGGCGUAAAGGGCGUGUAGGCGGUGCGGUAAGUCGGGCGUGAAAUCCCCGGGCUCAACCCGGGGCGGUCGUUCGAAACUGCCGUGCUAGAGUGCAGGAGAGGGAAGUGGAAUUCCCGGUGUAGCGGUGAAAUGCGUAGAUAUCGGGAGGAAGACCAGUGGCGAAGGCGGGUCUCUGGACAGUUCCUGACGCUGAGGCACGAAGGUCAGGGGAGCAAACGGGA
This 253-nucleotide ribosomal RNA is filed under the name uncultured prokaryote. RNAcentral describes it as "partial 16S ribosomal RNA". It matches the Rfam family "Bacterial small subunit ribosomal RNA", at positions 525 to 777 of the family's 1533-position model. The record is from RNAcentral.